UGGGGAAUUUUGGACAAUGGGCGCAAGCCUGAUCCAGCAAUGCCGCGUGCAGGAAGAAGGCCUUCGGGUUGUAAACUGCUUUUGUACGGAACGAAACGGUCUGGGUUAAUACCCCGGGCUAAUGACGGUACCGUAAGAAUAAGCACCGGCUAACUACGUGCCAGCAGCCGCGGUAAUACGUAGGGUGCAAGCGUUAAUCGGAAUUACUGGGCGUAAAGCGUGCGCAGGCGGUUUUGUAAGACAGGCGUGAAAUCCCCGGGCUCAACCUGGGAAUGGAGCUUGUGACUGGAAGGCUUGAGUAUGGCAGAGGGGGGUAGAAUUCCACGUGUAGCAGUGAAAUGCGUAGAGAUGUGGAGGAACACCGGUGGCGAAGGCGGGUCUCUGGGCAUCUCCUGACGCU
RNAcentral lists this ribosomal RNA (400 nucleotides) under uncultured bacterium. RNAcentral describes it as "bacterial SSU rRNA". It matches the Rfam family "Bacterial small subunit ribosomal RNA", at positions 355 to 747 of the family's 1533-position model. The record is from RNAcentral.